RNAcentral lists this ribosomal RNA (551 nucleotides) under uncultured Clostridium sp. Its description in RNAcentral is "bacterial SSU rRNA". It matches the Rfam family "Bacterial small subunit ribosomal RNA", at positions 50 to 601 of the family's 1533-position model. The record is from RNAcentral. Lineage: Bacteria; Bacillati; Bacillota; Clostridia; Eubacteriales; Clostridiaceae.
AACACAUGCAAGUCGAACGUGAUUUUUGUGGAAAUUCUUUCGGGAAUGGAAAUGAAAUGAAAGUGGCGAACGGGUGAGUAACACGUGAGCAACCUACCUUACACAGGGGGAUAGCCGUUGGAAACGACGAUUAAUACCGCAUGAGACCACAGAAUCGCAUGAUAUAGGGGUCAAAGAUUUAUCGGUGUAAGAAGGGCUCGCGUCUGAUUAGCUAGUUGGAAGGGUAAAGGCCUACCAAGGCGACGAUCAGUAGCCGGUCUGAGAGGAUGAACGGCCACAUUGGAACUGAGACACGGUCCAAACUCCUACGGGAGGCAGCAGUGGGGAAUAUUGCACAAUGGGGGGAACCNCUGAUGCAGCGACGCCGCGUGAGCGAAGAAGGUUUUCGAAUCGUAAAGCUCUGUCCUAUGAGAAGAUAAUGACGGUAUCAUAGGAGGAAGCCCCGGCUAAAUACGUGCCAGCAGCCGCGGUAAUACGUAUGGGGCGAGCGUUGUCCGGAAUUAUUGGGCGUAAAGGGUACGUAGGCGGUUUUUUAAGUCAGGUGUGAAAGC